Molecule: long non-coding RNA, 2459 nt
Organism: Eriocheir sinensis (Chinese mitten crab)
Lineage: Eukaryota; Metazoa; Arthropoda; Malacostraca; Decapoda; Varunidae
Exons: 5
Source: RefSeq, a predicted model, not a curated record
CGCACGUAUUUUGCGUGAAAGUGCUCUGUUCACAGGGUUCGAGAGGGGUAUGGUCCCUGCAGGAUGCCACUUAUUGGGAGACAGUGCCUACCCCUCCAAGAAGUGGCUCCUGACACCCUAUGUACGACCUCAGCCGGGCCCACAGUCCGCCUAUAAUAGAGCACACAAAAGGACAAGGAGCACAGUGGAGAGGGGGAUUGGCCAGUGGAAGCGGAGAUUUCAUGUGCUCCAUGGUGAAAUCAGAGUCAGCCCUCCUGCAUAUGUGUGUAGAAUAAUACAGGUGUGUGCUAUUUUGCACAACAUCUGCAAAGACAGACACCUCCCUGUACCCGAGGAAGGAGAGGACGAGGGUGAUGGUGCAGGUUUCCAUGAGGACCCACCUGUCCCACUACCACCUGUACCUGGACGAGUUCGGGAAGGUCUGCUCUACAGGGAUGAGUUUGUCAACCUUCACUUCAUUGACAGACCUCAACCUCAGCCUCGUGCAGCUGUGUGAGGCUUCCCGACCCAUCAACAGGUUAAUUCCACACCUACUUCCAACUCUGCAGCCUGCAGUUCAAGUUCCCUCUUCAGGCGGAUGAACUGCAGCUCCUCCUCAUCCACCAACAUGGUGCAGGUCCCAACUGGUGUACUGGAGGAAGCUGCAGCGGCAGGAACUACUGGUGGUGGUGUGGUGGUGGUUUGAGGUGUGUCUGUGCUGGGUUGGGGAGGGACAGGUGGUGUGACAUCCACCUGAAGACUCCUGGCAAAAAUACAUCCAUCAGUACCUGCACUCAUAAUUUUCUUGUGUUAUUUGACUUACAUCCCCAUUUAUGGAAACAAUACAGUUUAGGUUGAAAAGCCUUUGCAGGAAAGGAGUGUGUGUUCCAGAGGUCAUUUCUUUGGUGUUCUGCUGUUCAGUACGUAAUGCCUACGUCGUUAAGGACAACUAGCAUGGUUCAUGAGUAAGCAGACCUGACCGAGGUCAGACGUGGGUCACGGCGCUCCGAAUGGAGUAGCCCGGGGCCAGCCUGUUGGCCUCUCCCCUGCCCCUCCAUCCCCCUCUCCCUUUUCAUCAAAAACCCAACAUCGUAAGAAACUAUUGUGACAUCAAGCUUAAUCAUGGUGACAGACAGUGAGUGCUAUGUGUUUGUGGUCCCGUGAAGACACUGAAGUUUAGAAAUGGUCAGUGUGACAUCGACACGGCCUUACUAUCCAGCCGACGUCCCAGGUGCCCCGAGGUACACCAGCCCGACCAUCAUGCUGCUAGGAGAACUCUGUUCAGCCGCCUCUACCUGCACCCCUGCCAUCAGCGGCGACCUGACCCUUUUUUGACCUAUACCCCUUUCAUAUUGUAAUUUCCCAUUUUUUUCAAAUAUAUUUCAAAAUUUGUAUUUUAAAUGUGUAUAUUUUCAGCUUUACAGCUGCAAUCACUUAAUAGACCGUUUUAUUUUUAUUAUUACUAGGAAGGAUGUCUCAACACAUUAUCAAGUCAGCUCUCGAUAGCAAUUGAAUAAAUUUCUGUACACAUUGUUCCUCACUGUUUGAUUCCAUGAUUGCCCUAAUAUGGACUGCAUACAGCAGCAUGAUAGUAUUGGGUAAAUAAUAAUAAUAUGUAAUAGUACUCUAUAAUAAUACUUUAAGCAGAAAACUGUGGACUUUAGGAGAUGGAAAGCAAUACCUCCUCCUUGUGUACUGCAGUUUUCUAAAAGGAAAGCAAAUUAUUUUCAACAGUAACAGCAAGACCUAUUUUGGAGAACUUUAAAUCUACAAUCUACCUGACAGGCAUUUCUCAGUAAAAUGAACUAACACAACUGAUAAAUCAUUUGGAAAUGUCAUGUACAUGUUAGAGUAAUAUUUUUGUACAUUUGGAUUUAAGAAUAUUUAUUCUUAUUUUGGUAAUGAAGUAAUGUCAGACAUAUGAGACACACUUCAUAAAGCAAUACAUUUAGUACAAAUUAAUGACACCUAUAAGACAUUUUAGGUUAAUCCAUAUUGUCUGCUUGUAACCUUAAUAAAAAGUUGGUACAGAAUUCCUAAAAUAUAAUAAAUCAGUGUAUCAUACAAACAAGCUAAAGUAGACAAAUACGACGAUCAUCAAGGAACGGAAAUAACAAAUUUUACUAAUGAUUGUACAAAUAACGUUUAGUAAAUAUUCUGAGCCCUCACAUGGGGGUGGGGAAGCCAGGGGUGGCAAUUCUAGCCUGAACCUGCCGCCCACAAGGCUGACAAAAUUAUUUUAAAAUCAAUAUUUUUCAGAAAGUAACAAUAACAACCACACUGCAGUCUGAGGAAUGCUUUUUCCUAUUAUUUAUGAAAAAAUAAUUUUUAAAAUUUCACUUAAUUAUACGGCACAGACAGCAAAAGUAUCUUUUAUUAUGUAUACCGGUAUCCAAUAAUCACAUUGCCCGAAUUAGGGUCAUAGGCAGUAAAGGUACGUGGUGGAGGUGGGAAGUGGUGAUUGGGGGGCGGGGGGGGGA